UGCAGCCUGCAACUCGGCUGCAUGAAGCUGGAAUCGCUAGUAAUCGCGGAUCAGAAUGCCGCGGUGAAUACGUUCCCGGGUCUUGUACACACCGCCCGUCACACCAUGGGAGUCGGGAACGCCCGAAGCCGGUGGCCGAACCCGAGAGGGGAGGAGCCGUCGAAGGCGGGCCUGGUAACUGGGGUGAAGUCGUAACAAGGUACC
Molecule: ribosomal RNA, 204 nt
Filed under: uncultured bacterium
Lineage: Bacteria
Description: partial 16S ribosomal RNA
Rfam family: Bacterial small subunit ribosomal RNA
Source: RNAcentral